RNAcentral lists this long non-coding RNA (459 nucleotides) under Salmo salar (Atlantic salmon). RNAcentral describes it as "lncRNA (ENSSSAG00000107041.1)". The record is from RNAcentral. Lineage: Eukaryota; Metazoa; Chordata; Actinopteri; Salmoniformes; Salmonidae.
GCCUUCAAUUUACACAUCAAUACACCAAGAGAUUGCCGUUUCCACAGAUUGCAUUGCAUUGGAAUAUGACAAUAUCUGAAUUAUUACAAUAUGAUGGACUUAAGUUCACACUUUGAGUGUUGAUUACUUUAUACCAUAAUAUCAUUCAUCCUGGGAUUUUGUUUGUGUGUGCAGGUUUCUGAGAAACAUGAUCGAGAGGAGCGCUCAGCUAGCGAUGAGAAUUUCAGGGGUUAUGGGCGUGGUUUGGGAGCGUUUUACCCCUAUCAGCAGCCUCAGUACCCAUCCUACUUCCCUUAUGCGCAGCCUUCUCAAGGUAACUCUGCCCUGAUGGCCCUCCUGCCCUUCCUAUUGGCCAGCCUCGCCUCUGCUCCUGCCGCAGCUCCUGCUGCAGCUCCGCUAGCCCCAGCCCCAGCAGCGGGUGGAAAAUGAGAUGGGUGUCGAUAGAGAAAGGAGAAAAAA